CAGUCGCCGCGGGAACACGAAGGGGGCUAGCGUUGUUCGGAUUUACUGGGCGUAAAGGGCGCGUAGGCGGGCUGAUAAGUCGGGGGUGAAAUCCCAAGGCUCAACCUUGGAACUGCCUUUGAUACUGUUGGUCUUGAGUCCGGGAGAGGUGAGUGGAACUGCGAGUGUAGAGGUGAAAUUCGUAGAUAUUCGCAAGAACACCAGUGGCGAAGGCGGCUCACUGGCCCGGAACUGACGCUGAGGCGCGAAAGCGUGGGGAGCAAACAGGAUUAGAUACCCCGGUAGUCCCUGUCUCUUAUAA
This 301-nucleotide ribosomal RNA is filed under the name uncultured bacterium. RNAcentral describes it as "partial 16S ribosomal RNA". It matches the Rfam family "Bacterial small subunit ribosomal RNA", at positions 509 to 809 of the family's 1533-position model. The record is from RNAcentral.